GACGAACGCUGGCGGCGUGCUUAACACAUGCAAGUCGAACGGAAAGGCCCUGCUUUUGUGGGGUGCUCGAGUGGCGAACGGGUGAGUAACACGUGAGUAACCUGCCCUUGACUUUGGGAUAACUUCAGGAAACUGGGGCUAAUACCGGAUAGGAUCUCCUGCUGCAUGGUGGGGGUUGGAAAGUUUCGGCGGUUGGGGAUGGACUCGCGGCUUAUCAGCUUGUUGGUGGGGUAGUGGCUUACCAAGGCUUUGACGGGUAGCCGGCCUGAGAGGGUGACCGGCCACAUUGGGACUGAGAUACGGCCCAGACGCCUACGGGAGGCAGCAGUGGGGAAUAUUGCACAAUGGGCGGAAGCCUGAUGCAGCAACGCCGCGUGCGGGAUGACGGCCUUCGGGUUGUAAACCGCUUUCGCCUGUGACGAAGCGGGAGUGACGGUAAUGGGUAAAGAAGCACCGGCUAACUACGUG
This 468-nucleotide ribosomal RNA is filed under the name uncultured bacterium. RNAcentral describes it as "partial 16S ribosomal RNA". It matches the Rfam family "Bacterial small subunit ribosomal RNA", at positions 28 to 507 of the family's 1533-position model. The record is from RNAcentral.